AGAGUUUGAUCCUGGCUCAGAUUGAACGCUGGCGGCAUGCCUUACACAUGCAAGUCGAACGGUAGAGGGGCAACCCUUGAGAGUGGCGAACGGGUGAGUAAUAUAUCGGAACGUGCCCAGUCGUGGGGGAUAACGCAGCGAAAGCUGCGCUAAUACCGCAUACGAUCUAUGGAUGAAAGCGGGGGAUCGCAAGACCUCGCGCGAUUGGAGCGGCCGAUAUCAGAUUAGGUAGUUGGUGGGGUAAAAGCCCACCAAGCCGACGAUCUGUAGCUGGUCUGAGAGGACGACCAGCCACACUGGGACUGAGACACGGCCCAGACUCCUACGGGAGGCAGCAGUGGGGAAUUUUGGACAAUGGGCGCAAGCCUGAUCCAGCAAUGCCGCGUGCAGGACGAAGGCCUUCGGGUUGUAAGCUGCUUUUGUACGGAGCGAAACGGUCUGGGUUAAUACCCUGGGCUAAUGACGGUACCGUAAGAAUAAGCACCGGCUAACUACGUGCCAGCCGCCGCGGUAAUAC
This 517-nucleotide ribosomal RNA is filed under the name uncultured Comamonadaceae bacterium. RNAcentral's name for it is "bacterial SSU rRNA". It matches the Rfam family "Bacterial small subunit ribosomal RNA", at positions 8 to 526 of the family's 1533-position model. The record is from RNAcentral. Lineage: Bacteria; Pseudomonadati; Pseudomonadota; Betaproteobacteria; Burkholderiales; Comamonadaceae.